Macaca mulatta (Rhesus monkey) is the source of this 1800-nucleotide long non-coding RNA. Lineage: Eukaryota; Metazoa; Chordata; Mammalia; Primates; Cercopithecidae. The record is from Ensembl.
UUUUUUUUUUUUUUUGAGUCAGGGGUCUGCCUCUGUCAUGCAGGCUGGUAUGCAGCAGUGCCAUGAUCCAGCCUCAAAAUCCUGGGAUCAAGCAAUCCUAUGACCUUAGCCUCCCAAACAGCUGGGACUACAGGCAUGUGCCACCAUGUCUGGCUAAUUUUUAUUUUUAUUUUUUGAAGAGAUGGGGUCUUGCUAUGUUGUCUAGGCUGGUCUCAAGCUCCUGGGCUCUCACAACCCUCCUGCCUGAAUCUCUGGAAGUGAUGGAAUUACAGGAAUAAGCCACUGCUCCUGGCCUUCCACUUUUAUCUGUUUCAUAUAUUUGGCUUUCCUGUAAAAUAUCUUCCAAGAGAUUUAGCAGGAAUCUAUUGGGGCCUACUCUGGGCUUUCACAAUCCCGUGGCUGUUAAUGGAUGACUCCCAAGGUCCCUUUUGCCAUUAACAUUCUCGUAGUUAAAAAUGUGGUUCUACAAUAGUUUGCCUUUCAGAGCAGCAGAGAAAAAGUGGGGUGUCCUAUGGUCUGAUUGCCAUCUCUACCUUGCGAGUGGUCAUUAGAGGAACCCAAAUCCUCAAACCCUGUAACAAACAUAGAAUUCUUUUUUCCCCCUCCUUAUUGGUCCAGAUUUAUUGAUCUGGUUUCAAAUAAAAUAAUAUAGAUGCUAAUCAGAGGAAACAACAACUUUGUGCUCUUCCAACUAUCUUAAUGCAGCUUAAUGCAGUUUUUCAUCAGAAUAUUUUUAAAAUUUAAAGACAUGUUUACUGUUUUUCCUCAAUAUAAAGAUCAUUCAUGCACAUAUGAAGGUCAGAACAUUUUUUAAAAAGUAAAAUGUGAAUAAUCUCAUUGACUCAGAGUUGAUGAUGAUGUUCACAUUUAUUGAAUGUGCCAGAUUGUGUUGUGAACACUUUGUAUGUCUUAUUUAAUUACACUAUAUGUAGCCCAUUGCUGCAUGAUGAGCAGGCUGUGAAAUUGAAUGCCCCCAAAAGGAAUUUAGCAUUAUUAGACAAGAUCCCACACUAAGAGGAAAGGAAAGGUGAAACUCAACUGAGUUUUCCUGGGAGCUGGUUGCUGAGGUGGUUGUAAGGAAGACUCUGGCCUAAAAAGCUCAAGUCCACAGGUUGAAUGCGGGCCCUUUCUUUCUUCAUUCCUGCCUUUUCUUCUACUCCCCAGGCCUGUGAAACAUCCUCAGAUCUUUGCCUUUGUCCCCCAGGUAUGAGUCUCUCCACCUGUAACAGAGGAUUGUCCCUGUCCUCUGGAACUUAGCUCUGGUGUGAAGACAAGAUAGCUCGGGGAAAGAAAUGCUGAGUUUUGAGUCAGAACACAGCACACAGGGAAGGAAUUAAUUGAGAAUUCUUCCCAAACUGUAAGAUCACUGCUCAGCCAUGUUAUCAGAAGAACAUACGGGAAAACUGUGUCAAUGUCCUUAUGAACUAUGGGAUGGUUUGCUAAUUCCCUGUAGGGAAACAACAGCAGACUCGAAUUUCUUGACUUUUGACUGGUUGUUUAUUUGUGUAUUUACUUUUACAUGUAUGUACUGUCAUGGGAUCCUUAGGGUGUUGCUUUACCAGCUGGAAACCUCUGUGGCUAGCAGUGCCUCUUCUUGGGUUUUGCUCACACCCGCUGGGCUCCUUCUGCCCACUUGGCCCAUCAGGCCCAUCUCCUGCUUCCAGCCCAGAUCCCACACCUGCCAGGGUGUGUGAGUGAGCAAGUGCAGGGUCCAGCCACUGCACACAGCCAGUUGUGCCAGCUGUGGUAGGGCAGGCAGCUCCAGGCGCCAGUACAGGCGCCAGCUCUGUGCAAGGCUGC